GGAUUGUAGUGGCAUCCUUUUUUGUCUUUUUUCAAAAAAGAUAUAACGGAAAGCCCGACC
Molecule: small RNA, 60 nt
Filed under: Olleya namhaensis
Lineage: Bacteria; Pseudomonadati; Bacteroidota; Flavobacteriia; Flavobacteriales; Flavobacteriaceae
Also listed under: 1 other name
Description: Flavo-1 RNA
Rfam family: Flavo-1 RNA
Source: RNAcentral